CUAAGACAAGAAUGUGGAUGAUACAUUUGUAUUCUGCAAAGCACUCGGAGAUCUAUGAACCUCCCCAUGGUGUUAGCUUGUGGUGCUGAUCAUCUGUGCCUACAUCAGGGGGUCUUCAUAGUUCUGAACUGCAUCUGAGCUGGGAGAAAGCAUCAAAGUACUUUCUCUUAAAAUGUUUUUCAAUAUAUUGCUAGCUUUUACACUUUAACUUGAAGUACUAAGUCUUCAG
This is a non-coding RNA of Pelobates cultripes (western spadefoot toad), 229 nucleotides long. The record is from the annotation of a GenBank genome assembly. NCBI's taxonomy places the organism in Eukaryota, Metazoa, Chordata, Amphibia, Anura, Pelobatidae.